UCCUCACCUGUUCCACUGAUUGUGGUUUGCUGUUGGCGUCUUCCUCAGGAAUUCCUCCAAAAAUCUUUGAACCUAAUGAUUUGAUUGCUGGAAUCACUGGCAUUGUUUACCUGGACCGUCACCGGGAUUCUGUCAGUGCUGAUUGUGGCUAAGUACGUCCCACUCUCUUCAAAAAGGUCGGGGUUUUUUUUCCACCUGUCGGAUUAGAUCCUCAUCUGGAUCGAAAGAUGGCGAGCUAAGAAUGGACUAUGGACUUUAUGAUUUGGAAAUCAAUUUAUUCUGAGUCAAUUCUCAUGUGUCUCAUUGUGUUAUUGUAAUUGUAUGUUUUUUUUAAUUCAAAUCACUUAAUAUAUAUUCACCAAAACUAAAAGCACUGCCUCCUGUUUUUUUCACACCUCAGGCUCCUAAAAAGGCCACUCUUCCGAUGCUGCUUAUGUAGCCGCAGUUAGCUGCCUAGCCCAUAACUGUUACAUAUGCAGCACCAGUAGGUGGUGAUGCAAGAAGAUCAAAGAAAAGGCGACCUGAGGAUGCCAGAGACUGUAGCGGGUAAAAACCUGAGGGUAUAAUGACUGAUGCUGUUAGUUAAUAAACCAGAUAACUUUAAAAGACUUGGCUUCCUUUAUGUACUGCAGUACAAACAUUACAAGGUUUAGAGAUGAAUUAAAACAUUGAUCAUUAGAGGCUGUUAAACAUUCACAGAUAAAAUCCAACUUUUAUUUGUAAAAGACGAAAUAAUUAUUUCCUCUAUGGUAGUUUAUUUAUUCGAC
Long non-coding RNA from Xiphophorus maculatus (southern platyfish), 767 nucleotides. RefSeq lists it as uncharacterized. The transcript has 3 exons. Lineage: Eukaryota; Metazoa; Chordata; Actinopteri; Cyprinodontiformes; Poeciliidae. The record is from RefSeq and is a predicted model, not a curated record.